AAGGGUAUAGCUCAGUGGUAGAGUGCGUGCUUAGCAUGCAUGAGGUCCUGGGUUCAAUCCCCAGUACCUCCU
This 72-nucleotide transfer RNA is filed under the name Camelus bactrianus (Bactrian camel). It matches the Rfam family "tRNA". From Rfam's summary of the family: Transfer RNA (tRNA) molecules are approximately 80 nucleotides in length. Their secondary structure includes four short double-helical elements and three loops (D, anti-codon, and T loops). The record is from Rfam by way of RNAcentral. Lineage: Eukaryota; Metazoa; Chordata; Mammalia; Artiodactyla; Camelidae. RNAcentral also lists the same sequence under 1 other name.